RNAcentral lists this ribosomal RNA (1911 nucleotides) under Triticum aestivum (bread wheat). RNAcentral's name for it is "partial small subunit ribosomal RNA". The record is from RNAcentral. Lineage: Eukaryota; Viridiplantae; Streptophyta; Magnoliopsida; Poales; Poaceae.
AAAAAAAUGGAAGAAUGGAUAAGCCCGGCAUUUUGGAUCUAAGCGGCGAGCAGUUUUUCGGAGGCGAGCGGCGGGAGGUUUCGACGGCGAGCUGCCGGCAGCUGCUGCUGGACACGGAUGCGUGUGGCACUGGUGGUGCCUCGUUUGCCGGAGGCAGCACCGAGUCGAGCGGCCGGUGCUGCAAGAGGCUUCACGGUGGGUGGCGGCCUCUUCGGCGGCGACAGUGUGGCGACCCGCCUCCAUCCCCCUCUCCCUUCCUUGCCCGUGGCGAUGGACGAGGACCAUGGCCCGACCUCCUUCUCCAUAACCCGCACCCGCGCUCUCCUAUUUUCGCCGCUGGACUCUCAUCGCCACGGCGGCGGCGGCCCCUGCCCCCACUCCACGCUCCUCUUCUCUUCGUCGCGCACGGCGGCAGAAGGAGGGUUUCUGAUGGGAGCAAGGCUUGCGACCCCUCCGUCACAACUGCUCCGGGGCCCGGACAAAGCCGAGGCCGUCUCUGUGAACUCUCCAGCGAGCUGAUCAUUGCCCUCCUCCAUCUAAGAUGCAAGGUAGCAGCAGCAAUACAGGUUCCAUGGCCUCUGUCGCAUAGCUGCCACCCAAAGCAGUCCCCAGGGUACGGUGGUGGUUGGCAUUCUGUUUGAUGCGGGCUGCAUCUACUCCCACGACAACGGUCAGCAACUAUGUGUUCACCAUCGGAGUUCUUCAGUAUCGCCCCCUCUCUGUCAUGUAUGUGUAGUUUACUCUCCCAUGCCAAGUAUCUGCUUGAAUUAAGUCAGAUUCAGUAAGAAAAUUUGUUAGCUAAACUUGGAUGGAUUGUGUCCCCAAGUGCAGAGCUGAAACAUUAUGUAUAUUAUUUCGGUCUCGUCCCCAAAUAUAUUUGUUUUGGGCAUAGCUAUCGUACAAGCUUAGUACUCGGGCUGUCAUAAUUUCUUUUGCGUAGUUUGUAUGUGCUUAGUCAGAUAUCUUAUUGGUUUUGUUCAUAGAUAGAGUCAUUUAUUUAACCAUCAAACAGAGCACCUCAUCUAUGGCCUGUUUGAUGGUGGCCUGAAGAAAAACAAGAACCAUUGGUAUUCGGAUUGGUUAGGAGUGUGGCUCGAUUCCUCUUCAUUUUAAUAGUCCCAAAUUUGAUUGCAUCAGCCGCUUCAGGAGAUGUUCAUGUGCGCCACAAAAUUAGCUUGAUCUGAUGAUAGUACGAGGCUACCUGCCGGCUACUCUGUAGCUCCUAGUGUAGCUGGCUGGACUAUGCAGCUAUUUAAUUGGCGUUCAGAACUAGUGCCUUUGGUAGUUCCAGCAAAUUAGGGAUUCAGUAGCGCUCUUCUGUUUUCGAGUUUGCUCUCGUUAGUACAGGGAUAGCAUUGCCUCCAAAAUAUAUAGUGAUAGCUCUACAACCGAAGGAAAAAAAAAUUGGCUGAAGGUUCUACAAUUGUCCUGUCCAAACUGUAAUAUUUAGAUAACAUGAAUUCUGAUCCCAGAGUUCAGUUUUGAUUUUCAGGAGUGCGAAAUAACUGUAAUAUCUGCUUGAAUUAAGUUAGAUUCUAUAAGAAAUAUAGUUUCCUGAAUUUGGAUGGACUACGUCCCCAAAUGCAGAGCUGAAGCAUUUUUAUACUAUUUUGAUCUCGUCCCCGAAUGUAUGGCGUUUUGGGCAUAGCUCUCCGACAAGCUUAGUACUCAGACUGUCAUAUUUUCUUUUCCCCACUUGUAUGUGCUUAGUCAGAGUUUUUUCUUGUUUUUGUUCAUAAAUAGUGUCAUUUCUAAUUUAACUUUACUAGACAUGUAGAUGUCAAUUCAUAGUUUAUUAUUAUGGUUAUACAUUCGUAUUACUUUGCGCCCGUCUCCUUAUAAUAAGAAAAUGCUAUUGUUUCCAUCCUCCAUUGUUUACGGGAGGAAGAGUGUUCAGCAUUGUCAUAUACC